GCUGGAAUCGCUAGUAAUCGCGAAUCAGAAUGUCGCGGUGAAUACGUUCCCGGGUCUUGUACACACCGCCCGUCACACCAUGGGAGUCGGAUAUGCCCGAAGCCGGUGACCUAACCGCAGGGAAGGAGCCGCCGAAGGUGGAGCCGAUGACUGGGGUGAAGUCGUAACAAGGUAGC
Molecule: ribosomal RNA, 176 nt
Filed under: uncultured bacterium
Lineage: Bacteria
Description: partial 16S ribosomal RNA
Rfam family: Bacterial small subunit ribosomal RNA
Source: RNAcentral